CCUACGGGGGGCUGCAGUGGGGAAUAUUGGACAAUGGGGGGGAACCCUGAUCCAGCCAUGCCGCGUGUGUGAAGAAGGCCCUCGGGUUGUAAAGCACUUUCAGUGAGGAAGAACGCCUGGUGGUUAAUACCCAUCAGGAAAGACAUCACUCACAGAAGAAGCACCGGCUAACUCCGUGCCAGCAGCCGCGGUAAUACGGAGGGUGCGAGCGUUAAUCGGAAUUACUGGGCGUAAAGCGCGCGUAGGUGGCUUGAUAAGCCGGUUGUGAAAGCCCCGGGCUCAACCUGGGAACGGCAUCCGGAACUGUCAAGCUAGAGUGCAGGAGAGGAAGGUAGAAUUCCCGGUGUAGCGGUGAAAUGCGUAGAGAUCGGGAGGAAUACCAGUGGCGAAGGCGGCCUUCUGGACUGACACUGACACUGAGGUGCGAGAGCGUGGGUAGCAAACAGGAUUAGAUACCCCUGUAGUC
This 466-nucleotide ribosomal RNA is filed under the name Vreelandella stevensii. RNAcentral describes it as "partial 16S ribosomal RNA". It matches the Rfam family "Bacterial small subunit ribosomal RNA", at positions 338 to 795 of the family's 1533-position model. The record is from RNAcentral. Lineage: Bacteria; Pseudomonadati; Pseudomonadota; Gammaproteobacteria; Oceanospirillales; Halomonadaceae.